RNAcentral lists this ribosomal RNA (253 nucleotides) under uncultured bacterium. Its description in RNAcentral is "partial 16S ribosomal RNA". It matches the Rfam family "Bacterial small subunit ribosomal RNA", at positions 524 to 776 of the family's 1533-position model. The record is from RNAcentral.
GACGAAGGGGGCUAGCGUUGUUCGGAAUUACUGGGCGUAAAGCGCGUGUAGGCGGUUGUUCAAGUCAGGUGUGAAAGCCUUGAGCUCAACUCAAGAAAUGCACUUGAUACUGGAUGACUAGAGGACCGGAGAGGAUAGUGGAAUUCCCAGUGUAGUGGUGAAAUACGUAGAGAUUGGGAAGAACACCAGUGGCGAAGGCGGCUCGCUGGACCUGACCUGACGCUGAGGCGCGAAGGCGUGGGGAGCGAACGGG